Molecule: non-coding RNA, 3332 nt
Organism: Sesamum indicum (sesame)
Lineage: Eukaryota; Viridiplantae; Streptophyta; Magnoliopsida; Lamiales; Pedaliaceae
Source: RefSeq, a predicted model, not a curated record
GCAAAAGAUAUUUUACCCUCACUUCUCUCAGUCUCAGCUAUCCCCCUUGCUCUCUAAAACCCUGCAAGAAAACACUCACAUCACGCACAUUUAUUCUCAUAGUUUUGAAUUUUAGCUCCCAUUUUUGAUUUUCUUGCAGAGUCAAUUGUCAUAUAUAUAUAUGCAUACUAAGCACAAGUUUAUAUAUUUCUAAGAAUUGUUUAAAGAUGGCUGCUUUGAAUGCAAUUUCAGUAUGUCCUCACAAGCUCUUCUGGUGUCAGCCAAAGCCCAGAAAACGCUUCAUUUCCUGUUGUGUAUCUACCCCUUCAGUAAAGGGUUCGCGUGGGUCCAAAGUGCCUCGCAGAAGGUCUGGAAGAACAGAAGGAGCUGGAAAGAGUAUGGAGGAUUCUGUUAAGCGCAAGAUGGAGCAAUUUUAUGAAGGCUCUGACGGGCCUCCUUUACGCAUACUACCAAUUGGGGGUUUAGGAGAAAUUGGGAUGAAUUGCAUGCUAGUAGGGAAUUUUGAUCGUUAUAUCUUGAUCGAUGCCGGUGUAAUGUUCCCAGACUACGAUGAACUUGGUGUCCAGAAGAUUAUACCUGAUACCACUUUUAUCAAGAAAUGGAGCCACAAAAUUGAAGCAGUUAUUAUUACUCAUGGGCAUGAAGACCACAUUGGUGCGUUGCCUUGGGUUAUUCCGGCUCUGGAUUCUCACACACCAAUAUUUGCCUCAUCCUUCACGAUGGAGCUUAUCAAAAAGCGCUUAAAGGAGUUUGGGAUCUUUGUUCCAUCUAGACUUAAGGUGUUUAAGACUCGGCGGAGAUUUGUUGCUGGUCCAUUUGAAGUUGAACCCAUUAGAGUCACGCAUUCUAUUCCAGAUUGUUCUGGGUUGGUUUUCCGGUGUGCUGAUGGUACUAUUUUCCACACAGGGGACUGGAAGAUAGAUGAGUCACCACUGGAUGGGAAAGUUUUUGAUCGUGAGGCUCUGGAAGAACUUUCGAAAGAAGGAGUGACUUUGAUGAUGAGCGACUCAACAAAUGUACUUUCACCGGGAAGAACACUAAGUGAGACAGUUGUGGCAGAUUCGUUAUUAAGGCAUAUCUCGGCAGCCAAAGGAAGGGUUAUCACUACUCAAUUUGCUUCAAAUAUUCACCGGCUUGGUAGUGUAAAAGCUGCAGCAGAUUUGACUGGCCGGAAGUUGGUAUUUGUUGGUAUGUCCUUGAGGACAUACCUUGAUGCUGCGUGGAAAGAUGGAAAAGCACCGAUUGAUCCUUCAACUCUGGUGAAAGUGGAAGAUAUCGAUGCUUAUGCACCAAAGGACUUGCUGAUUGUCACCACUGGUUCUCAAGCAGAACCACGUGCUGCCCUGAAUCUUGCAUCAUAUGGAAGUAGUCAUUCCCUCAAGCUGAACAAAGAAGAUCUGAUUUUAUAUUCUGCAAAGGUAAUCCCAGGUAAUGAGACAAGAGUCAUGAAAAUGCUAAACCGUGUAUCAGAAAUUGGAUCAACGAUAGUGAUGGGGAAGAAUGAACUGCUGCAUACAUCUGGUCAUGCCCAUCGUGAAGAACUGGACGAGGUACUAAAAAUUGUUAAGCCGCAACACUUCCUACCUAUUCAUGGAGAACUCUUAUUCUUGAAAGAGCAUGAGUUGCUGGGGAAGUCAACUGGCAUUCGGCAUACUGCAGUUAUAAAGAACGGAGAGAUGCUAGGGGUGUCACAUUUAAGAAACAGAAGAGUUCUAUCAAAUGGUUUCAUUUCUCUGGGUAAAGAGAAUCUCCAGUUGAUGUACAGUGAUGGUGACAAAGCAUUUGGCACAGCAACUGAACUUUGUGUUGAUGAGAGGAUGAGAAUUGCAUCAGACGGCAUCAUUGUGGUUAGCAUGGAAAUUUUGCGCCCUCAAGCAGCAGAUGGUUCAGUUGAGAAGGCUUUAAAAGGAAAAAUAAGAAUUACUACGCGAUGCUUAUGGCUUGAUAAAGGAAAACUUUUGGAUGCACUUCAUAAAGCUGCACAUGCUGCACUGUCGAGCUGUCCUGUAAAUUGCCCUUUGGCCCACAUGGAAAGAACUGUGGCUGAAGUCUUGAGAAAAAUGGUAAGGAAGUACAGUAGCAAACGACCAGAAGUCAUAGCUAUUGCUACUGAGAAUCCGGCUGGAGUUCUUGCUGAUGAGAUUAAUAGAAAACUAUCGGGAAAGCCGCACAUUAGUUCUGAGAUGUCGGUAUUGAGAAAGGCAGUUGAUGGACAUGAAAAAGCGAGACUACCAAUUAAUAUACUGGAAGAUGGCAACGGUCUUGCAAUUGAACGAGAUACAACAGCACAGGAAUUAGAAGAUCAUGAUUAUGAGGAGCAAGUUCAACAUGAGGAAGUAAUUGUAUCAAAUUCCAAAUUGCCAGAUAAAGCUCCAAAUGUUGAUGAAUCAGAUGAUUUUUGGAAGUCAUUCAUAUCACCAUCAGGGCUCAAGCAGUCAGAAGGUGACAGUGAUUUGCUUCCAGCAGCAGCCCACCGGGAAAAGGCCAAAGAAGAAAGCAGCGAACUAGACUCUGUCCUGCCAAAAUCUCGACAGACAACUUCCAAGACUGCAAAAAGGAAUAAGUGGAAACCUGAAGAGGUCAGGAAGCUGAUUAAACUGCGGGGAAAACUCCAUAGUAGAUUCCAAGUCCUCAAAGGGCGGAUGGCUCUCUGGGAAGAGAUAUCUUCAAGUUUAUUGUUGGAUGGAAUUGGUAGAAGUCCUGGACAGUGUAAAUCUCUUUGGGCUUCACUGGUUCAGAAAUAUGAGGAAAGUAAGCGUGAUACAAAAUCCCAGAAGAGCUGGCCAUACUUCGAGGAUUUGGACAAGAUCUUAUCGAACUUGGAGACCAAUGCGUCCAAAUGAUUCUAAUGCAACUCUUCUAGCUGUUUUCAGAUCAAUAUAUUCAUGAUGGAUGGGCACAACUUGCUUUGUGAGUCACUAGAACGAAUACAGAGGGCUUGAUCAUGAAAGGUGGGCGACACUCGAUGCCCUCUCAAUAGGUCAGCCUAGGAGCCUGGGGACUAGAGUUUAGCGGACAUUGGGUUGGGUUCGUGGAUUUACAUGUCAACUGACGACUAUAUUUGAGAUGGAGUUUGCACGUUCUCAAAUUCAUAUCGGGAUAAAGAUUCUAUUGGAUGAAUGCUAUUUUAAGGUGUAAAUAAAUGGGUUGCUAUGAUAAUAAUCUAUCAAUAGGAAGACGUUUUCGUGGAUUUGCAUACAAAUUGUGUGAUUUCUCAUGGGUGAUUUUGAAGAUAGCACACGUUUGCGUGGGUGAUUUUCAAGAUGAUAAGAAGGAUGUAUUCAUGAUUCAAUAAAAACAUGGGCUUGUAGCUUAGUCUGAUUGGGCACACG